Non-coding RNA from Triticum urartu, 117 nucleotides. The record is from Rfam. Lineage: Eukaryota; Viridiplantae; Streptophyta; Magnoliopsida; Poales; Poaceae.
UACAUACUCCCUCCGUUCAAAAAUACUUGUCCGAGGAAUGGAUAUAUCUAGAUGUAUUUUAGUUCUAGAUACAUAUCCAUUUCCACGACAAGUAUUUUCGGACAGAGGGAGUACAUG